RNAcentral lists this long non-coding RNA (120 nucleotides) under Pan paniscus (pygmy chimpanzee). Its description in RNAcentral is "lncRNA (ENSPPAG00000044566.1)". The record is from RNAcentral. Lineage: Eukaryota; Metazoa; Chordata; Mammalia; Primates; Hominidae.
CCUUAUUCCAGAUAAUAAAUGUUUCGUCUUGGGUUCCAAGGAGCUGGCUGCAUCCAAACUGCAAUGAACCUAUACCAUAGAACACAGAACACAAACAUUGAACCUGCUGAGCCUGUAUGA